ACAAGCUUUAGCUUAAAACCCAAAGGACUUGACGGUAUCCCACCUAACUAGAGGAGCCUGUUCUAUAAUCGAUAAUCCACGAUAUACCUAACCAUUUCUUGCUUUCAGCCUGUAUACCUCCGUCGUAAGCUUACUAUGUGAAUAUGCAGUAGUGAGCCAGAAGGCCACCACCCAUACGUCAGGUCAAGGUGCAGCUCACGAAAUGGAAGUAAUGGGCUACAAUUUCUAACCUAGAACAAACGAAAUACUAUAUGAAAUAUAGUCACAAAGGAGGAUUUAGUAGUAAAUAAGAAAUAGAGAGCCUUAUUUAACUCGGCCCUGGGAUGUGUACACACC
This 336-nucleotide ribosomal RNA is filed under the name Raorchestes sp. CESF126. RNAcentral describes it as "partial 12S ribosomal RNA". It matches the Rfam family "Bacterial small subunit ribosomal RNA", at positions 882 to 1391 of the family's 1533-position model. RNAcentral also lists the same sequence under 1 other name. Lineage: Eukaryota; Metazoa; Chordata; Amphibia; Anura; Rhacophoridae. The record is from RNAcentral.